Molecule: ribosomal RNA, 274 nt
Filed under: uncultured bacterium
Lineage: Bacteria
Description: partial 16S ribosomal RNA
Rfam family: Bacterial small subunit ribosomal RNA
Source: RNAcentral
AUACGUAGGGUGCAAGCGUUAAUCGGAAUUACUGGGCGUAAAGCGUGCGCAGGUGGUUUUGUAAGUCAGAUGUGAAAUCCCCGGGCUUAACCUGGGAACUGCGUUUGAAACUGCAAGGCUUGAGUGUGGCAGAGGGGGGUGGAAUUCCGCGUGUAGCAGUGAAAUGCGUAGAGAUGUGGAGGAACACCGAUGGCGAAGGCAGCCCCCUGGGUCAGCACUGACGCUCAGGCACGAAAGCGUGGGGAGCGAACAGGAUUAGAAACCCCGGUAGUCC